UCAAGAAACUUCCACAAUGGGCGAAAGCCUGAUGGAGCGACGUCGCGUGAUGGACGAAGUGCUUCGGCACGUAAACAUCUUUUAUGUGGGAUGAAAUUAUUGACAGUACCACAUGAAUAAGGGGCUCCUAACUCUGUGCCAGCAGGAGCGGUAAUACAGAGGCCCCAAGCGUUAUCCGGAAUCACUGGGCGUAAAGGGUGUCGAGGCGGUUGUAUUAGUCGUUCGUAAAAUCUACGAGCUUAACUUGUAGGCGGCGAACGAAACGGUACGACUUGAGGUUUGGAGAGGUGCGUGGAACUCACGGUGUAGGGGUGAAAUCCGUUGAUAUCGUGGGGAACACCAAAGGCGAAGGCAGCGCACUGGCCAAAAUCUGAUGCUCACACACGAAAGCUAGGGUAGCGAAGAGGAUUAGAUACCCAUGUAGUCCCUGAGCGGGCUGGCAAGGCGCAU
Molecule: ribosomal RNA, 450 nt
Filed under: uncultured bacterium
Lineage: Bacteria
Description: bacterial SSU rRNA
Rfam family: Bacterial small subunit ribosomal RNA
Source: RNAcentral